UGAGAAAUUUGAGGUGAUGUGGUGUUGGA
Molecule: non-coding RNA, 29 nt
Filed under: Mus musculus (house mouse)
Lineage: Eukaryota; Metazoa; Chordata; Mammalia; Rodentia; Muridae
Source: RNAcentral